Long non-coding RNA from Apis dorsata (giant honeybee), 265 nucleotides. RefSeq lists it as uncharacterized. Lineage: Eukaryota; Metazoa; Arthropoda; Insecta; Hymenoptera; Apidae. The transcript has 2 exons. The record is from RefSeq and is a predicted model, not a curated record.
CGAAUAUAUAAUAUAUAAUUGUAUAAUAGAAACGACAAACGAGUCGAUCUCGGAAAGACUAAGGAAUGUUCAAGUUAUAAUAAUAAUAAUAAUAAUAAUAAUAAUAAUAAUUUACAUUCAAGUACUCGCGCAGAGAGAUCGGCCCUUUUGCUUGAGCAAAGACUUAUACGAUCCUUCCUCUAUUAGAUUAAGACGUAGGAGAGCAAAAAUGUUUCUUCGCCAUUGGUAAAUUCGUCUAUAUAUAUAUAUAUAAAAAAAAAAAAGA